CUGGGAGAAGGGUGUUUACUCC
RNAcentral lists this non-coding RNA (22 nucleotides) under Xenopus tropicalis (tropical clawed frog). Lineage: Eukaryota; Metazoa; Chordata; Amphibia; Anura; Pipidae. The record is from RNAcentral.